Molecule: ribosomal RNA, 466 nt
Filed under: uncultured bacterium
Lineage: Bacteria
Description: partial 16S ribosomal RNA
Rfam family: Bacterial small subunit ribosomal RNA
Source: RNAcentral
GACGAACGCUGGCGGCGUGCUUAACACAUGCAAGUCGUGCGGUAAGGCCCUUUCGGGGGUACGCGAGCGGCGAACGGGUGUGUAACACGUGUGCAACCUGCCCUGCACUUGGGGAUAACUGCCCGAAACGGUGGCUAAUACCGGAUAUGACUUCCUCACGCAUGUGGGGUGGUGGAAAGCCUUCGGGUGGUGGGGGAUGGGCUGGCGGGCUAUCAGCUUUUUGGGGGGGUGGGGGUCUACCAAGGCUUCGACGGGUAGGCGGCCUGAGAGGGUGACCGGCCACCAUGGGCCUGAGAGACGGACCAGACUCCUACGGGAGGCAGCGGUGGGGAAUAUUGGCCAAUGGGCGAAAGCCUGAUCCAGCAACGCCGCGUGAGGGAUGACGGCCUUCGGGUUGUAAACCUCUUUCGCCUGAGACGAAGCGAGAGUGACGGUAGCAGGUAAAGAAGCACCGGCCAACUACGUG